UUAUUUUUUAAUAAUUAAUUUUUAUAUAAUUUUUAUAUAAUUAAUAUUUUAGUUAUUUAUAGGAAUAAAUAUUAUAAUAUAAUAAUAUUUUAAUAAUGAUAAAAUAAGUAUUUUAUAUAUAUAAAAUAUAGUAACUCGGCAAAUAUUAUUUUCGCCUGUUUAACAAAAACAUGGUCUUUUGUUUAUAUAAAAGAUCUAACCUGCCCUAUGAUUUAUUUAAAUGGCUGCAGUAUUUUGACUGUACAAAGGUAGCAUAAUCAUUUGUCUUUUAAUUGAAGGCUUGUAUGAAUGGUUGGAUGAAAAUUAUACUUUCUUUAUUUUAUAUAAAAAAUUUAAUUUUCUAGUCAAAAAGCUAGGAUUUUUUUAUAGGACGAGAAGACCCUAUAGAACUUUAUUUUCUUUUUUUAUAAACUUUAUAGAUAAAUAUAAGUUUAUAUAUUUUUGUUAAUUUUGUUGGGGUGAUUGAAAAAAUUUUUUAACUUUUUCUAUUUUUUACAUUUAUAUAUGUUUUUUUGAUCCUUUAUUAUGGAAUAAAAGAUUAAGUUACCUUAGGGAUAACAGCGUUAUUUUUUUGGAGAGUUCUUAUCGAUAAAAAAGUUUGCGACCUCGAUGUUGG
Molecule: ribosomal RNA, 616 nt
Filed under: Apolygus lucorum
Lineage: Eukaryota; Metazoa; Arthropoda; Insecta; Hemiptera; Miridae
Description: partial 16S ribosomal RNA
Rfam family: Archaeal large subunit ribosomal RNA (bases 150-303)
Source: RNAcentral